CAGUCGCCGCGGUAAUACGAAGGGGGCUAGCGUUGCUCGGAAUUACUGGGCGUAAAGGGCGCGUAGGCGGACAGUUCAGUCGGGGGUGAAAGCCCGGGGCUCAACCUCGGAAUUGCCUUCGAUACUGGCUGUCUUGAGUAUGAGAGAGGUGUGUGGAACUCCGAGUAUAGAGGUGAAAUUCGUAGAUAUUCGGAAGAACACCAGUGGCGAAGGCGACACACUGGCUCAUUACUGACGCUGAGGCGCGAAAGCGUGGGGAGCAAACAGGAUUAGAUACCCCCGUAGUCCCUGUCUCUUAUAC
Molecule: ribosomal RNA, 301 nt
Filed under: uncultured bacterium
Lineage: Bacteria
Description: partial 16S ribosomal RNA
Rfam family: Bacterial small subunit ribosomal RNA
Source: RNAcentral